Molecule: transfer RNA, 73 nt
Filed under: Chryseobacterium piscium
Lineage: Bacteria; Pseudomonadati; Bacteroidota; Flavobacteriia; Flavobacteriales; Weeksellaceae
Description: tRNA-OTHER
Rfam family: tRNA
About the family: Transfer RNA (tRNA) molecules are approximately 80 nucleotides in length.
Source: RNAcentral
GGGGAAUUAGCUUAAUGGUAAAGCCACUGUAGAUAAUGCAGUAGAUCCGGUUCGAAUCCGUUAUUCUCCACAA